ACGGGAGGCAGCCUUCGUGCAUAUUGCACAAUGGGGGCAACCCUGAUGCAGCAACGCCACGUGUGGGAAGAAGCAUUUCGGUGUGUAAACCACUGUCGUGAGGGAAUAAUGCUUAAUUUCGGUUAAGUUGAAUGUACCUCGAAAGGAAGCACCGGCAAACUUCGUGCCAGCAGCCGCGGUAAUACGAGGGGUGCAAGCGUUGUUCGGAAUCACUGGGCGUAAAGGGAGCGCAGGCGGAGAUGCAAGCAGUAUGUACAAUACCGGGGCCCAACCCCGGACCUGCAGACUGGACUGUUUCUCUUGGAUAGUUCAGGGGCAAGCGGAAUUCCUGGUGUAGCGGUGGAAUGCGUAGAGAUCAGGAAGAACACCUAUGGCGAAGGCAGCUUGCUGGGUGCUUAUCGACGCUCAUGCUCGAAAGUGCGGGUAGCAAACAGGAUUAGAUACCCUGGUA
This 451-nucleotide ribosomal RNA is filed under the name uncultured Fibrobacter sp. RNAcentral's name for it is "partial 16S ribosomal RNA". It matches the Rfam family "Bacterial small subunit ribosomal RNA", at positions 341 to 792 of the family's 1533-position model. Lineage: Bacteria; Pseudomonadati; Fibrobacterota; Fibrobacteria; Fibrobacterales; Fibrobacteraceae. The record is from RNAcentral.